RNAcentral lists this ribosomal RNA (465 nucleotides) under Vreelandella stevensii. Its description in RNAcentral is "partial 16S ribosomal RNA". It matches the Rfam family "Bacterial small subunit ribosomal RNA", at positions 338 to 795 of the family's 1533-position model. Lineage: Bacteria; Pseudomonadati; Pseudomonadota; Gammaproteobacteria; Oceanospirillales; Halomonadaceae. The record is from RNAcentral.
CCUACGGGUGGCUGCAGUGGGGAAUAUUGGACAAUGGGCGAAAGCCUGAUCCAGCCAUGCCGCGUGUGUGAAGAAAGCCUUCGGGUUGUAAAGCACUUUCAGUGGGGAAGAAAGCCUUGGGGCUAAUACCCUCGAGGAAGGACAUCACCCACAGAAGAAGCACCGGCUAACUCCGUGCCAGCAGCCGCGGUAAUACGGAGGGUGCGAGCGUUAAUCGGAAUUACUGGGCGUAAAGCGCGCGUAGGCGGUCUGAUAAGCCGGUUGUGAAAGCCCCGGGCUCAACCUGGGAACGGCAUCCGGAACUGACAGGCUAGAGUGCAGGAGAGGAAGGUAGAAUUCCCGGUGUAGCGGUGAAAUGCGUAGAGAUCGGGAGGAAUACCAGUGGCGAAGGCGGCCUUCUGGACUGACACUGACGCUGAGGUGCGAAAGCGUGGGUAGCAAACAGGAUUAGAUACCCGGGUAGUC